GUCAGUUUCCCAAUGGAAAACUAGGGUCGGCCAGUCCAAAAAUACAUGAUUUCUGUGUGAACAUCAAAUGCUAAGAUUUAUAAAAAAAACGUAAUCUAUCUUGCAAACAAUGCGUUCAUUUCAAGAGUUCAUUAAAUUAAAGAAAAUAAUUUUUUUUUUUUGGUGAUACAGAAAAUAAAUACAUUACUGGAUCAGUA
Long non-coding RNA from Trifolium pratense (red clover), 197 nucleotides. RefSeq lists it as uncharacterized. The transcript has 2 exons. NCBI's taxonomy places the organism in Eukaryota, Viridiplantae, Streptophyta, Magnoliopsida, Fabales, Fabaceae. The record is from RefSeq and is a predicted model, not a curated record.